UGUGGACCCGGGGGUCUGCAGACACUUAUCAAUGCAUAGGCAUUUUUUUCUGCAGUGCGAGAUAAACAAGGUCCAGCUUAGGCGAAAAGAGAAACGUCUUACAGGCAGCAUCUACACUCCAGACAACGGAGCGUGUUCUGAGUCCACGUUAAGUCACCAGGCCCCCGCUGG
This is a non-coding RNA of Choloepus hoffmanni (Hoffmann's two-fingered sloth), 171 nucleotides long. Lineage: Eukaryota; Metazoa; Chordata; Mammalia; Pilosa; Megalonychidae. The record is from Rfam.